Molecule: ribosomal RNA, 444 nt
Filed under: uncultured eukaryote
Lineage: Eukaryota
Description: bacterial SSU rRNA
Rfam family: Eukaryotic small subunit ribosomal RNA
Source: RNAcentral
UCCUGACGGUAGUCGUAUGCUCGUCUCCGAGACUAAGCCAUGCAAGUCCAAGUACACGUCCUUGAACGACGGAAACUGCGAACGGCUCAUUAAAUCAGUUGCGAUCUACUCGGCGUUCCGCGCCGCCGGAUAACCGUAGUAAUUCUAGGGCUAAUACGUGCGAAGCGCCCGAAGCCGCGAGGCGACGGGCGUUCUCGCCGGAUGUAGGAACCGACCCGGGGACCGCCGGGGCAACCCGGCGCCCCCGAGACGGGGCGAACCACGGUGAAAUGACGGAUCGUCGGCCCCGCGCCGGCGACUCGCCGAAUGAGUUUCUGACCUAUCAACUCGAGACGGCGGGGUAGAGGCCCGCCGCGGUAACGACGGGUAACGGGGAAUCAGGGUUCGAUUCCGGAGAGGGGAGCCCCGAGAAACGGCUACCACUUCCAAGGAAGGCAGCAGGCG